Molecule: ribosomal RNA, 70 nt
Filed under: Candidatus Azambacteria bacterium RIFCSPLOWO2_01_FULL_46_25
Lineage: Bacteria; Candidatus Azamiibacteriota
Description: partial 16S ribosomal RNA
Rfam family: Bacterial small subunit ribosomal RNA
Source: RNAcentral
UUGUCGUCAGUUCGUGCCGUGAGGUGUUCCGUUAAGUCGGGAAACGAACGCAACCCCUAUUGCCAGUUAC